RNAcentral lists this ribosomal RNA (253 nucleotides) under uncultured bacterium. Its description in RNAcentral is "partial 16S ribosomal RNA". It matches the Rfam family "Bacterial small subunit ribosomal RNA", at positions 524 to 776 of the family's 1533-position model. The record is from RNAcentral.
UACGAGAGGUCCAAACGUUAUUCGGAAUCACUGGGCUUACAGAGUUCGUAGGCGGUUCUACAAGUGAGGUGUGAAGGCCCUCGGCUCAACCGAGGAACUGCGCUUCAAACUGUAGAACUAGAGGGAGAUAGAGGUGAGCAGAACUGAUGGUGGAGCGGUGAAAUGCGUUGAUAUCAUCAGGAAUACCGGAGGCGAAGGCGGCUCACUGGGUCUCUUCUGACGCUGAGGAACGAAAGCCAGGGGAGCAAACGGG